Heterocephalus glaber (naked mole-rat) is the source of this 332-nucleotide non-coding RNA. The record is from RefSeq and is a predicted model, not a curated record. NCBI's taxonomy places the organism in Eukaryota, Metazoa, Chordata, Mammalia, Rodentia, Bathyergidae.
CCAUGUUGACUCAGAGCUCAGUAUUCGCCUCAGGCAUCUUUAACUGCUUUCUGAAGCAGUUUUGAUUUUCUUCAAAACAUUGUGAAAUAUGACUGCUCCUUGUUGUUCUAUAAAAUGCUUUUAUUUAUGCUUCACUCUACUUUUCUCUGUCUCUAACAUGCAGCCACAUUUCCGGUCAGGUGUCUCUGUGUGCUGAGACAAGAAGAGCCAGCAGAGAAACUGAAUGUCUACAGGAAAGAAAAUCAACAACACAAGUUUCUACCAAUGAUUAGAAUGACCUUGCCUUUUCCAUCUGAAAGCGCACACACACAUAUACACACAUGAAAAAAAAA